GACGAACGCUGGCGGCGUGCUUAACACAUGCCAGUCGAACGGAAAGGCCCUGCUUUUGUGGGGUGCUCGAGUGGCGAACGGGUGAGUAACACGUGAGUAACCUGCCCUUGACUUUGGGAUAACUUCAGGAAACUGGGGCUAAUACCGGAUAGGAGCUCCUGCUGCAUGGUGGGGGUUGGAAAGUUUCGGCGGUUGGGGAUGGACUCGCGGCUUAUCAGCUUGUUGGUGGGGUAGUGGCUUACCAAGGCUUUGACGGGUAGCCGGCCGGAGAGGGUGACCGGCCACAUUGGGACUGAGAUACGGCCCAGACUCCUACGGGAGGCAGCAGUGGGGAAUAUUGCACAAUGGGCGGAAGCCUGAUGCAGCAACGCCGCGUGCGGGAUGACGGCCUUCGGGUUGUAAACCGCUUUCGCCUGUGACGAAGCGUGAGUGACGGUAAUGGGUAAAGAAGCACCGGCUAACUACGUG
This 468-nucleotide ribosomal RNA is filed under the name uncultured bacterium. Its description in RNAcentral is "partial 16S ribosomal RNA". It matches the Rfam family "Bacterial small subunit ribosomal RNA", at positions 28 to 507 of the family's 1533-position model. The record is from RNAcentral.